GACGAACGCUGGCGGCGUGCUUAACACAUGCAAGUCGAACGGAAAGGCCCUUCGGUGUUCGGGGGUUGCGAACGGGUGAGUAACAGGUGGGUGAGAUGCCCUGCACCUUGGCAUAAGCCUGGGAUACUGGGACUAAUGCCUAAUAGGACCAGGCGCUUCUGGGUCUGUGGUGGGAUGCGUUUGCGGUGGGGGUUGGGUCCGCGGCCUAUCAGCUUGUUGGUGGGGUGAUGGUCUACCAAGGCGACGACGGGUAGCCGGCCUGAGAGGGUGAGCGGCGACACUGGGACUGAGAUACGGCCCAGACGCGUACGGGAGGCAGCAGUGGGGAAUAUUGCACAAUGGGCGCAAGCCUGAUGCAGCGACGCCGCGUGGGGGAUGACGGCCUUCGGGUUGUAAACCUCUUUCGAUAGGGACGAAGCGCAAGUGACGGUACCUAGAGAAGAAGCACCGGCUAACUACGUG
This 462-nucleotide ribosomal RNA is filed under the name uncultured bacterium. Its description in RNAcentral is "partial 16S ribosomal RNA". It matches the Rfam family "Bacterial small subunit ribosomal RNA", at positions 28 to 507 of the family's 1533-position model. The record is from RNAcentral.